CUCCCUCGUUGCUAACCCCAGGUUCGAUAAUACCAAGAUGGCAUCACCUCGCCAAGAACCAACUUCGAUGAAGCGACGGGCGGUGUGUGCAAGGAG
Molecule: ribosomal RNA, 96 nt
Filed under: uncultured archaeon
Lineage: Archaea
Description: partial 16S ribosomal RNA
Source: RNAcentral